CGUAGGGUGCGAGCGUUAAUCGGAAUUACUGGGCGUAAAGCGUGCGCAGGCGGAAGUGUAAGUUAGAAGUGAAAUCCCCGGGCUCAACCUGGGAACUGCUUUUAAGACUGCAUUUCUAGAGUUUGUCAGAGGGGGGUGGAAUUCCAAGUGUAGCAGUGAAAUGCGUAGAGAUUUGGAGGAACACCGAUGGCGAAGGCAGCCCCCUGGGAUAAAACUGACGCUCAUGUACGAGAGCGUGGGUAGCAAACAGGAUU
This 254-nucleotide ribosomal RNA is filed under the name uncultured bacterium. RNAcentral's name for it is "partial 16S ribosomal RNA". It matches the Rfam family "Bacterial small subunit ribosomal RNA", at positions 526 to 779 of the family's 1533-position model. The record is from RNAcentral.